UGGUGAAAUUGACGAGACUAGAAAACCCCCAAGUCUUUAAAUUGGAACUAACAGUGUGAUUGUGUUUUGUGCGUUUUUCGGAAGAGUGGUGUAUCCAGUUAGAGGUUUUUGUGAGGAUCUUUCAAUAACUCUUGGAAACAGCAUGUCCAGAUGUUCUUUUAAGGAAUAAUUUGAGACUGGGCAACAAUGUGAGAGAAUGAUGUAGAAGAAAGUCUCCAAUCCAAUCGAUAUGAAUAGAGUUAUAAAUCCUGUUGCAGUAAACCAUGCCUUGGGACCAAAGGUGGUCCGGGGUAGAAGGGACUCAUCCCUCGACUCGGGAAUCCACCAUCCCCUCUCCGACACAUCCUCCUCCGAUCAAGACGAUCUCAGUGAAGCCGUCAACAAUGGGCUGUGUUUUGCCAACAGUGUUCGUCUGAGUCCUGUAGGCUGCAAUGAGACAGACAACCUGGUGGAAGAGGUCUACGUCUCACAACUCAAUACAAAAUCAACAGAGAAUGUUGAUGACGUGGAAAGCUUGAACACCAGCCACAAAAGCCUCUCAGACGACUCUCUAUCGGAAAAUGUGGCGAAAAAACCACCAUCUCGUGUCUACAUUGCACCGGAGAACCCUAUACCCCCACCAAUCAUUCACACAAACACACAAAACAACGAAGAACCCGUAAAAGAGGAAGCAGAUAGGAAGGAAGUGAAGGAGAAAGAGAGAGAGCCGAUCAUCGAGGAACCUGAAGGAAUUUUGGAAGAAGCGGAAAGCCUGGCUGAAAAUGAAGAUAUGGGAGAAAAGUUUGAAGCUAAAGUUGUGGUGGCUGUAGACUUGGGAACAACUUACAGUGGUUAUGCAUAUCGGUACAUUGAUCAUCCAUCAGAUGUUGACAUCCAUCUCAUGUCCAAUUGUCAAGGUGAGCCAGGAUUGAACAACCAGAAGUUACCCUCUAUUCUACUGUUGGACCCAUCUCGUAAGUUGCAUUCAUUCGGAUGCACUGCAAGGGACCACUUCCACGACCUCGACCCAGCCGAGGCACAUCUCUGGCUCUACUUCGACAAGUUCAAACUCACACUGCACAACAAUACGGAUGUAAGCAGAGAAUCUAUGAUCAGAGCGAGCAACGGGUGUGAGGUGAACGCUCUGACCGUAUUCAGCCAGGCACUCUACUACCUGAAGUCACAAGCUCUGGGCGAAUUGCAGCAUCAGGCUGACUCGAGCCACGUGCAGUGGGUCAUCACUGUACCGGCCAUAUGGAGUCACACGGCCAAGCAGUUUGUCAGGGAAGCUGCUUAUAUGGCCGGAAUGUUUGAGUCGCAUCAUCCAGAACAGCUUCUGAUAGCCCUGGAACCAGAGGCUGCUGCCAUCUGGUGUCGCAAUCUUAGAACUUCACUGAUCCAAGAUGACCAAUCAAACUGUGAUAACUGCAUUGACAAUCAAUGUGGAUUAUGCUACAUGGUUGUGGACUGCGGUGGAGGCACGGUUGACAUAACUGUUCACAGGGUUGACCAAGAUAACGGAUCAUUACAGGAGCUGCAUAAAGCCACUGGGGGUUCAUGCGGAUCUUUAGGGGUAGAUGAGGAGUUCAACAGAGUACUUGGCGGUAUUUUCGGGUUCGGAUUCAUGUCUCAGCUGCAGGUUGAGAGGCCGGCCGCUUACACAGAGCUCAUGCUGAGUUUUGAGUCCCGCAAACGAUCUGCUUCACCAUUGCGACAUUUGGCACUCAACAUUUCGCCACCUUACGCUUUCAUUGACUAUUUCAGGAAGGUCACUGGCAAAGAGGUUGAGACAGUGGUGCAAAACUAUGGGAAACCAGAAGUGAGUUGGUCCACCCAGGGUCAGCUACGUAUCCAUCCUUCACUCAUGACCGAAUUAUUCCGACCAACUAUCGAACGAGUCAUUCAGCAUAUUGAGAAAGUUCUAUCAAGUCCCCGAGUCCUGAACAAAAUCACCCAUCUGUACCUAGUCGGUGGUUUUGCAGAGUCACAGAUUCUGCAACAAUCGAUUCGAGACAAUUUCGCAAAAAGACUGAAAGUGAUUAUUCCUCAAGGAGUGGCUCUGAGCGUCCUGCGAGGAGCAGUUCUGUUUGGACUGAAUCCAACAACUGUGUCUGUGAGGCAGGCGAGGCACACAUAUGGAAUUGGCGUUCUGAGAAAGUUCAUAGAUGGGGUGCAUCCAGUCGAGAAACUAGUGGUAAAGGAUGGACAAGAGUGGUGUGUGGACGUUUUGGAUCCCCUAGUGGAGGCCAACCAGACGCUCCGUGUGGGGGAGAUGGUGAUGCGGCGAUACACGCCUGCCAACUGCAAGCAAUCUCAAAUCGUUCUCAACAUUUACUGCGCGCAGUCAGCCUCUGCAAAGUAUGUUACAGAUCACGGAGUGCGCAGAAUCGGGACUCUGAAGUUGGACCUUCGCCAAACGAAAACUUCCUCGAAACAGCCGCGCGAAAUUAUCGCACGACUGACUUUCGGAGGCACCGAAGUGACGGCAAGCGCCUACGACACCGCUUCCAAACAAUAUGUCGACACUGAUCUCUCUUUUCUCACUUAAGGGGUGUUUACACAUUAGUCAAGUUUACUUGAAUUCAAGUUUUGUAUAAAAUGAAUGUACUAUGCAAACCUGAAGUCAAGAACAGAAACUUGUAUCGGGUCGAUGUCAAACGAGGACACUGACAGUAGAGGACUCUUCUAAAAGCACAGAAGCGACAGUGAAGGACUCCGACAGUUGAGGACUGUGACCGUAGAGGACUGAAAAUCCGUCCUCAAAUGUCGCAGACCUCGACUGUCGUGUCCCCCUUGAAUCCACUAUACCAAUGUAGACCAUUAUUAAAGUUGAUUAAAGUAUAGGUGUUGAACUCAAACUUGAAUUCAAGUAAACUUGACCAAUGUAAACCCUACUUAAAUGUAAAAUUAAUCAGCUUUGUUUUUAAUCUGAGAGGAAUAAUUUGUUUUCCCUCAGUGAUUGCCAUACUUAGUUAUAAAAUAAUAAUAAAUAGUCUAUAUGUUUUAUUUUGA
Molecule: unclassified non-coding RNA, 2991 nt
Filed under: Nilaparvata lugens (brown planthopper)
Lineage: Eukaryota; Metazoa; Arthropoda; Insecta; Hemiptera; Delphacidae
Description: heat shock 70 kDa protein 12A, transcript variant X2
Source: RNAcentral